UACGUAGGUGGCAAGCGUUAUCCGGAAUUACUGGGCGUAAAGCGCACGCAGGCGGUCUUGUAAGUUUGACGUGAAAGCUCCCGGCUUAACUGGGAGAGGUCGUUGAAGACUGCAAGACUUGAGGAAAUGAGAGGGGUGUAGAAUUCCCGGUGUAGUGGUGGAAUGCGUAGAUAUCGGGGGGAAUACCAGUGGCGAAGGCGAGUCUCUGGACGACUCCUGACACUGAGGCACGAAAGCUGGGGGAGCAAACAGG
RNAcentral lists this ribosomal RNA (253 nucleotides) under uncultured bacterium. Its description in RNAcentral is "partial 16S ribosomal RNA". It matches the Rfam family "Bacterial small subunit ribosomal RNA", at positions 524 to 776 of the family's 1533-position model. The record is from RNAcentral.